Molecule: long non-coding RNA, 1353 nt
Organism: Zonotrichia albicollis (white-throated sparrow)
Lineage: Eukaryota; Metazoa; Chordata; Aves; Passeriformes; Passerellidae
Source: Ensembl
GUUUAAUUGAAUGUGGAAAACAAACCUAAGCAUAGCUGAUUUACUAAUUUUUCUUAUCUUUAUUUGCUAUUCCAGUUCUAUCACUGUCCUAUCACAUGUAAAGCUCAGACAACACCACCCAGACCCCCAAGGCAUUUAAAAUGUAAAAUUAUGAAUGCUGUUAACAGCUCACAACAUACCAAGGGUGGAUUCUGAGGAGGAAUAAAUCAGCCUUGGAGCUACCACCACUUACCCCUAGCUGGUAAAGCUUAAUCACUAGGCUUUGUAGGAAUACGCCCUUGAUCUUUUAUCAGAGGAAUCUGAUCCCCAGUUCUCCAUACUGUGUGGUUGGUGUCCAGUCUUGCCACCUUUUCCACAUCAGUGCAAAUAAGAAAGGAAAAAAAGCCAUCACAGUAAAUGCAUUGCAGAAAUUGUACCUCAUCACUACAUGAGAAGGCAGUGAAUGAGGUUUGUAUAAUCAGCUUUGGACAACUUCAUCUUCAAAUGCAGAGGGCCAGGAGCUGGACUUCAAUGAUCCUGGUGGGUCCUUUCCAAAUAAGCUUAUUCUAUGAUUCUGUGAAGAAGCAAACCAGCCAGUUCAUCCUCCUGUGCCAUUGGUCUUCUGAGCAAUAUUCCUGCAGGGAGAAAGCAGCACCCUUUUUUGAGAGCAUGACCCAUUUUUGUGCCCUGCAUGUAAAGUUGGCACUUCGGCUUUUGCAAAGAAUGAACUGUCCGGAUGACCGAAGCACAGGUACAAAUCAUGUCUGCUGGCUGUCCAGCAUGUCCCAUGUGCAUUUACACGCCCCAAAAGCGGGAUUUCUCCUUCCCCAGAAUGCUGGCCUUGCUCUCUUUGACACGGUAAGAUCUGAUUGAGCAGUGUUAUCAAACGGUGGCAGCAAGGAGAGCUCCACUCAGGAAUAUGGUGAUGUUGUAGCAGAUAGUUAGGAGGAAUAUGUGGGUUUUUGUGAGCUGCAGAGAUAGUUACUGCUGUAACUAUCAUUCCAUGUCCUGGAAUGAGCAUCUGCACAGGCAGGUAAAGCCGGGACAGACGGCAGAGGGCACAAGUGAAUGCCUUAAGCAUCGGGGCUUGCUUCUGACAGGAACCUGAAUUUCUCUGCUAGUGUAAAUGUAUCCUUUCCCUUCAACCUUUCCCCCCUCUUUUUAGCAUGUGUUUUCUGUGCCUGUCUGCCCCUCCAUCCCUCCCCAGUCAGCACUUAGAUGAAGGCAUUUCUCAGAUUAUUUCUGAGGUUUGUUAGGGCAAGCAAACAAACCUGUUUGGUUGUGUUUGCCUGUUUGGUUGGGGGGUUUUGUUUGUUUCUUUGGAUUUUUUUUUUUUUUUGCCUUUUUUUGCCUAAUUUUUUUGCUUUUUUUUUU